GACGAACGCUGGCGGCGUGCUUAACACAUGCAAGUCGAACGGAAAGGCCCUGCUUUUGUGGGGUGCUCGAGUGGCGAACAGGUGAGUAACACGUGAGUAACCUGCCCUUGACUUUGGGAUAACUUCAGGAAACUGGGGCUAAUACCGGAUAGGAGCUCCUGCUGCAUGGUGGGGGUUGGAAAGUUUCGGCGGUUGGGGAUGGACUCGCGGCUUAUCAGCUUGUUGGUGGGGUAGUGGCUUACCAAGGCUUUGACGGGUAGCCGGCCUGAGAGGGUGACCGGCCACAUUGGGACUGAGAUACGGCCCAGACUCCUACGGGAGGCAGCAGUGGGGAAUAUUGCACGAUGGGCGGAAGCCUGAUGCAGCAACGCCGCGUGCGGGAUGACGGCCUUCGGGUUGUAAACCGCUUUCGCCUGUGACGAAGCGUGAGUGACGGUAAUGGGUAAAGAAGCACCGGCUAACUACGUG
RNAcentral lists this ribosomal RNA (468 nucleotides) under uncultured bacterium. Its description in RNAcentral is "partial 16S ribosomal RNA". It matches the Rfam family "Bacterial small subunit ribosomal RNA", at positions 28 to 507 of the family's 1533-position model. The record is from RNAcentral.